AGGGACUUCUCUAGAAACUGAGAUACUGUAAGUACCCACGUUAUAUCUAGAUAUUGGAAUACAGACAACAAGAACUACUAGAAAGAAAAUCUUGGCUUUAUUUAGCCUAUAUUUUAGCAAAAGAGACCAAUAAUAGAUGGUCUAAGUAAAUUAUGUACUGUGUCAUAUGGUGUUGAAGACUAAGGAGAUAAAGAAAGCAGGGAAAGGAGAUAGGAAGUAGUGGGAUGGGCUGAAGUUCCAGGUAGAAUGCAUCAUCUACUGAAGAGAAGAGCAUCAAGAGACGGGUAAGUAAGAGAGGUGAUAGAGAGUGAGACAGGUCAUACAAUGAGUUUUAGAUCCUAGCAAUAAUUUUUACUUUAAGUCCAAAUAAGAUGGAAAGCCAUAGGAGAGUUUUCAACAGAGUAGUGAAAUGAUAUGACCUUGGUUUAACUGCAUUCUUUUGGUUCUGGGUUGAGGAUAGAUAAAAGAAUAAGUAGCACCGACUCAGGUAAAAGAUGAGAGUGGUGGAAAGUGGUAAGUUCUGGAUCUUCUUUGAAGGUAGAGUGGGAAAGAUUGGCUGACUGGAUUAGUGUGGGGUGUAAAAGAAACAUAGAAGUCAAGAAUGACAUCAAUGCUUUCAAUCUAAAAAUCUAGAAACAUGGAGUUGCCAUUAACUUAGGUGGUGAAUACUGUGGAAGAAGCCAAUUUGGGUCAGGAGCUCAGUUUUAGACAUCCUAUUUAAGGAAUACCUGUUAGAAAUCAAGUAGAGAUAGUGAUUUGGUGGUUGUUGAGUAUGAAAGGUAGGGACCACAAAAGAUGUCACAAAUGUGGGAGCUAUGAGAACACCGAUGGUAUUCAAAGCCAUGAAAUUGGAAAAGAUCACCUAGCACGUAAGCACUGAUAGCACAGAGAAGAGAAUCAAAGACUGAGCCUUGGAGCAUUCUAACAUUUAGCAGUGAGGAGGAAGAGGAUGACUCAGUGAGAAGAGUCAGGUGCAGGGACCAGAAAGGUAGAAAAAAAAAAAAAAACAGCCAAAUACGUUGUGAUUUAAGCUAAGUGAGGUAACUGCAUCAAAAGGGGAGUUUUGCUGUAAAUAAUAAGAGAGAAAUGGGACAGUAACUGGAGGAGGAAGAGGAUAAUGAAAGUCUUUUUGGAGACAGGUGAAAUUACAACAUGCUUUUGUCUGCUUCAAACAGUGAACCACAGGAGAAGAAAAGAAUAAGUGGAGUGAUGUAUUGGAAUGACCGAGAAAGAAUGAGACGUAAUUUACAAGUGAAAGGAAUGGCCUUGACUAGGAGUGAAGAUACACACAAAGAAUAUGGACAUAGUUGCAAGCAGCUUAAGAAGAAAACACAGCUGGACCUACAAUCGGGGAAAAUCCAUAACAGGCAAGACAAGAGCAAUUUCUCUGCCAGCUUCUUGCUACCUGCUGUCUCUAAUUGGCCAAACUUCUCACGGUGGAGUGCUCUCUCCUCCCCAUGUCUAAGUUGUCUUGUCUGGCCCCUCCAGGCAGGCACUGGGAAGCCAUAGCCUCAGUAUGACAGGUUGAGUCACACAUGGCAGUACAGCUGAUGAGUGCCUGCUCCUCUGGGCAUGAUGGACACUCUGCCAGUGUGUGGCCCUUAUCCCAAGGCAGGCAGAGACAAGCAAUAGUGGGAGAAGAUAAGAAGAUGGUGAUGACCAGGGCUCUGCAAUUGUGGGGACUUUGUGACUUGUUGCUGAGACCACUCUGUCCAGGAGCUAGGGCACAGAGCUAUGGGCUCUUGUUCUUAUUCUGGGGCUAUCAUCUAGGGAGAUCAUGAGGAAAUUGUGUGUCUCCAUUCCUUCAUCUGUUUCAAGACAACAUUUUAUGAGGUUAGUAAAAAUGACUGGAAAUAAUGUUCUGUCAUUCUAUUAAUUCAAAGAAGUUUGAGCACCUUCUGUGUUUACUUCCUCUCAGUUAUAUAUUUAUCUAACAGUGUAUUGCUAAGAAAUACUUCAGAACAUAUUCAUGUAAUAGCUGGAUUCUAGAUUCUAGAUUCUAAUUUCUAGAUUCUAAUUCUAAUCUAGAUUCUAGAUUCUAAACAUGGAAUAUUCUUACUGCAAUGGCAGUGAGUUGGGCAAAUAAUAAAUAGUGCAAGUUCCUAAAACAAAGUGCUGCAGCACUGACAGAGAGACCAUGAUAUUCUGUUGAUUAAAUUGACUUCAGUUUGGUCAUCAAAUAGGGCAAGAAACUUUUAAAAUAUCCUGUUUUGUAAUUAGUCAAAAAACAUGACAUGAAAAGCCUUCCUCUCUUGAUCUUUAUUCAUGCUCUACGGUAUUUUGAAAACUAAAAAUAAAUAGCCAAACCAGUGGAUUCUACACAGUUGAAGGUAGAAAAGGGAAGGAGGCAGUCUCACUUCUCCCCAUAAAAAAAAUGGUAUGUGCCAAAUGAGCAGCAAAGAGAAUAAGAGGAAUGGCUCAGGUCACCCAGGGCUGGGCUGAGAAAAAGAGGAGUAGAGCUUGAAUGGGUCUUUCAGAAAGGACACAUGUCAGAUAAGGUGGUGGGUUGAUAGUGGCAUUACAGAACUAUUUAAAAUCCUUUCAGUAGGGGGAAGAAGAAAUCAAUUAAUCUGAGUCAUGUGGUUUGGAUGUUAAAGCCUGAUAUCCUGUCAGUGUUGCUAUAGGCUCCCUGGAGAGAUAUUUUGGCUCUUGGCAAAGUGCUGUUGUUGACCUUACUGCCUGUAACAUUCAAAGGCUUAGAACAAAAACUGACCAGAAAGAAAGUGAAAGGCUAACCAAGAGAUUUGUAGGUCAGAACAUAGCAAGUGUCUGUUAUUCAUGUUAAUGGAAUGGAAAUAUGACAUAGAUAAUAAAUAGUCAUUGCUUUAGUUAGGACUAAGUUUGGUCACAAAUGACAAUAAACUCAAAAUAAAAGGGGGUUAGUCACAAUAGAAGUCUAUUUUCCUCUCACAUAUAUGUCCAGAGGGGAAGCCCAGGGGUGAUAUGAAUAUGAUGGUCCAUGAUGUUAUGGGAGCAGGCUUCAUCUGUCUUGCUGCUUGCCAUGCGUGGUCUCCAUACCCAAGGAUCACAUGGUCUCACAUGGCUGUUUCAACUCUAGCCAUAAAAACUAGUUCUGACAAUAAGAAAGAGAGCAAGAAAGGGAUGGGCCAUAUCCCUGACCUUUAAAGAUAUUUCCAAGAAGAUGUGACCUAUUUAUGUGUACAUACCAUUUCCAGAACUUCGUUAUCUACACACACUUAGCUGAAUGGUCAGACAGAAAGUGUAAUUUUUGCGUGAUGCUGCCAGAUGCCCAGCUAAGAUUUGGGGUUCCUAUUACUGAGAAAGAAGGGAACACAAUCUUGAAAGGACAACCAGCAGCCUCUGUCCCAAUCAUCUGAGACACUAGCAUUUGGUUUUCCAAACAAUUUUAUAAUUUUGAGCAAUAUAUUUGCAUUGUAAUUUUUAAAACUUAAUAUCAAUUUUUUUUAUUUUGUUGUUCAUUUAACCCACUUACUGAGCAGUACAGAAUUAAAAUUAUAAUUUCAUAUAGAUAUUGACAUUUCAUUUCUUCUGUGAGCCUAAAAAUCAUGGAUUUUCCAUUCUUUCAGCAGUAGUCUCUCAUUGUAGUGAUGCCUAAGUUAUGAUUUUGAAUGCGCAAAAGAAAUAAAAUUUAUUUACCACUAGA
This is a long non-coding RNA of Homo sapiens (human), 3625 nucleotides long. RefSeq lists it as uncharacterized. The record is from RefSeq and is a predicted model, not a curated record. The transcript is spliced from 2 exons. Lineage: Eukaryota; Metazoa; Chordata; Mammalia; Primates; Hominidae.